GCUGGGCAUAGUGGUGUGUGUCUGUAGUCCCAGCUACUUGGUAGGCUGAGGUGGGAAGCUCAAUUGAGCCCAGGAGUUCUGGGCUGUGGUGUGUUAUGCCGAUCGAGUGUCCGUACUAAGUUUGUAAUCAAUAUGGUGACCUCCCAGGAGCGAGGGGCCACCAGGUUUCCUAAGGAGGGGUGAAAUGCCUCAGGUUAGAAAUGGAGCAGGUCAAAAUUCCUGUGCUGUUUGAAACUGAGCACACAGGGGAGAAAGAGGCUCUGAGAGAGAUUUGUAGAAACUCAUUUCAU
Aotus nancymaae (Ma's night monkey) is the source of this 290-nucleotide unclassified non-coding RNA. It matches the Rfam family "Metazoan signal recognition particle RNA". From Rfam's summary of the family: The signal recognition particle (SRP) is a universally conserved ribonucleoprotein. It is involved in the co-translational targeting of proteins to membranes. The eukaryotic SRP consists of a 300-nucleotide 7S RNA and six proteins: SRPs 72, 68, 54, 19, 14, and 9. The record is from Ensembl. NCBI's taxonomy places the organism in Eukaryota, Metazoa, Chordata, Mammalia, Primates, Aotidae.